This 1510-nucleotide ribosomal RNA is filed under the name bacterium. RNAcentral describes it as "bacterial SSU rRNA". It matches the Rfam family "Bacterial small subunit ribosomal RNA". The record is from RNAcentral.
UUAAUGGAGAGUUUGAUCCUGGCUCAGAGUUAACGCUGGCGGCGUGCAUAACACAUGCAAGUCGAACGAGUUUAUGCGAUUACAUCAAGUAAGCUAGUGGCAGACGAGUGAGUAACACGUAAGAAAUCCACCCUGGAGUGGGGAACAACCAGUCGAAAGAUUGGCUAAUACCCCAUACGAUCAUCGGUCGGCAUCUAUCGAUGAUGAAAGGUUUUUCGCUCUAGGACGAUCUUGCGGCCUAUCAGCUAGUUGGCGGGGUAACGGCCCACCAAGGCUAUGACGGGUACCUGGCCUGAAAGGGCGGACGGGCACGGAGGCACUGAGACACGGGCCUCACUCCUACGGGAGGCAGCAGUGGGGAAUUUUGGACAAUGGGCGAAAGCCUGAUCCAGCAACGCCGCGUGAGGGAUGAAGGUCUGAGGAUUGUAAACCUCUUUUACAUGGGACGAAACCCCGCAAGGGACUGACGGUACCGUGUGAAUAAGCCCCGGCUAAAUAUGUGCCAGCAGCCGCGGUAAGACAUAUGGGGCAAGCGUUACUCGGAAUUACUAGGCGUAAAGCGUGUGUAGGCGGAUCCUUAAGUUCGUCGUGAAAUCUCCCGGCUCAACUGGGAGGGGUCGGCGAAGACUGGGGGUCUUGAGUGAGGUAGGGGGAACCGGAAUUCCAGGUGUAGCGGUGAAAUGCGUAGAUAUCUGGAGGAACACCGGUGGCGAAAGCGGGUUCCUGGGCCUUUACUGACGCUGAGACACGAAAGCUAGGGUAGUAAACAGGAUUAGAUACCCUGGUAAUCCUAGCCUUAAACGAUGAUAACUAGGUGUGGGAGGUAUCGACCCCUCCCGCGCCGUCGCUAACGCAUUAAGUUAUCCGCCUGGGGAGUACGGCCGCAAGGUUAAAACUCAAAGGAAUUGACGGGGGCCCGCACAAGCGGUGGAGCAUGUGGUUUAAUUCGACGCUACGCGAAGAACCUUACCUAGGCUUGAACCGCCAGUAGUAGUCCCUUUGAAAGGAGGGGCGACCCGCAAGGGAGCUGGCAGAGGUGCUGCAUGGCUGUCGUCAGCUCGUGUCGUGAGAUGUUGGGUUAAGUCCCGCAACGAGCGCAACCCCUGUCCUGUGUUGCUACCCGCAAGGGAGGACUCUCAGGAGACUGCCGCGGACAACGUGGAGGAAGGUGGGGACGACGUCAAGUCAUCAUGGCCUUUAUGUCUAGGGCUACACACGUGCUACAAUGGCGUAUACAGAGGGAUGCAAGACCGCAAGGUGGAGCAAAUCCCUAAAGUACGCCUCAGUUCGGAUCGUGGGCUGCAAUUCGCCCACGUGAAGUUGGAAUCGCUAGUAAUCGCAGAUCAGCAGGCUGCGGUGAAUACGUUCCCGGGCCUUGUACACACCGCCCGUCACACCACGAAAGCUAAUUGCAACAGAAGUCUCCGCAAGGGGCCCAAGUUGUGAUUGGUGAUUGGGGUGAAGUCGUAACAAGGUAGCCGUACGGGAACGUGCGGCUGGAUCACCUCCU